UUCAAAUAUAAAUGGACAAAUAUAUAAUUGAAUCAACAAUGACACGUCAAAUCGAGUGAAUCGAUUGAUUUAAAUCAACACAUUUUGAAAAUAAAAAAGCCAUCAGGACAGGUUCAAAACCAGGCCUAAAUACAUGGGGCGUUGCCUGAUUUUGAACCUGGCCAAAAAGCAGGAUUGUUUUGAAAAUUUACAAAAUAGAAGUGCAAAUAUUUGAACCAAUCACAUCGGGUAUGCAAGAGUCAUAUUUUUCAAUUGGAAUACCCCCAUUAUUUGAUAGAAUUGGCUCUUGUUUGAGCUCCAUUAUUUUCAUAAAAAUGUAUUUUUGAAUAGUGUAUUGAUGGAAAAUGUAUAGUUAAAUAGAUUUGCAUGUAAUAUUAUUUUAUUGAAGAAUAUAUGGUUAAAAUGAUAUUAAAACACCAUAAUGUACACGUGGCAUAACAUCUUUGCAGGGUUGGAAAAUAGUGUACGUUAUGGACAUCCUUAUGAAUACCAUAAUCUACAUGUAACAUAACCCACGAAACAUACAUCACAUACUUUUUAGAUAUUUUUCAAAAAAAAAAAUUAUAUAUAUAUAUAUGUGUGUGUGUGUGUGUGUGUGUGUAGAGAGAGAGAGAGAAGUUAUAUGAAAAACUCAUAGUUAUAUCUAUGCCCCCCUUUUUUGAAAAUAAAUAAAUAAAUCACCUUCAGACUCUGCAAUAUUUUAUCAAUUGACAAGUUACCUACUGACCUAGUGCUUUGGCUAGAUUAAUGAUCAGAUUGGACGUGAUAGCUAUUGUACCAUUGAUGCAAGAAAAGAUCAAAACGGACAUUGCACCAUUUGAUGCAAAAAAUGGUGCAAUGAACAGUGUUGUACCAUUUUGCACAAAAUGGUGUAAUAGGUAGGGGUGGGCACGGGUCGGUUCGAUUCAGUUCGGUUCUCUUUAGAACCGAACCGAACCGAACCAAACUUUUCGGGUAUCUAGUAAAUGAAACCGUCGGGUCCAAAUAUAAUUAUGGAACCGUUCAGGUUCGGUUCCAUUCGAUUCAGUUAGGUUCAGUUCGGUUCCGUUCGAUUCUGUACUAUAAUUAAAUUUUUUAACAUUUAUAACAACAUUAUAUAAAUACGACUAAUGAUAUAUUCAAUGGUUUUGGAAUGUCAGAGACUAGAAAACUACCUUGUUCAAAUGAUUGCUACGAUCAAAACUUCGGUCGGCGAAAGUCACGGCUUCGAUCGGAGGUCAUAGUGUCGGCCGACGAUUGUAUAAGUUUUGGAAUAUUAGCGAGGCUGCGAGAGUGAGUGUGAGAGUCGAGACAAUAUUAUGCACUUUAUUGUAGGUGUUUAGGGUUAUUUAGUGGAUUUGAUCUUGUUUGGCUAAGAAAUGAAACAAUAAAAUGGGUAAUUGGGCCAAAAAUUAAAAAAAUUAGAAAUGAAACAAAUUAUUGGGCCAAAAAUUUGGAUUUAGA
RNAcentral lists this long non-coding RNA (1443 nucleotides) under Olea europaea subsp. europaea. Lineage: Eukaryota; Viridiplantae; Streptophyta; Magnoliopsida; Lamiales; Oleaceae. The record is from RNAcentral.